UGCCUAUGGAUCCCAAGCAGGGAUGACUGG
This 30-nucleotide non-coding RNA is filed under the name Mus musculus (house mouse). Lineage: Eukaryota; Metazoa; Chordata; Mammalia; Rodentia; Muridae. The record is from RNAcentral.